RNAcentral lists this ribosomal RNA (1351 nucleotides) under uncultured bacterium. Its description in RNAcentral is "bacterial SSU rRNA". It matches the Rfam family "Bacterial small subunit ribosomal RNA", at positions 28 to 1381 of the family's 1533-position model. The record is from RNAcentral.
GAUGAACGCUAGCGGGAGGCCUAACACAUGCAAGCCGAGCGGUAUUGUUUCUUCUGAAAUGAGAGAGCGGCGUACGGGUGCGGAACACGUGUGCAACCUGCCUUUAUCUGGGGGAUAGCCUUUCUAAAGGAAGAUUAAUAUCUCCACUAAUAUAUGUGAACGCGGAUCGCUUUAAUAUUGAAAGCUCCGGCGGAUAGAGAUGGGCACGCCCAAGAUUAUCUAGUUGGUGAGGUAACGGCUCACCAAGGCGAUGAUCUUUAGGGGGCCUGAGAGGGUGAUCCCCCACACUGGUACUGAGACACGGACCAGACUCCUACCGGAGGCAACAGUGAGGAAUAUUGGUCAAUGGGUGCAAGCCUGAACCAACCAUCCCGCGUGAAGGACGACUGCCCUAUGGGUUGUAAACUUCUUUUGUAUAGGGAUAAACCUACCCUCGUGAGGGUAGCUGAAGGUACUAUACGAAUAAGCACCGGCUAACUCCGUGCCAGCAUCCGCGGUAAUACGAGAGGGUGCAAGCGUUAUCCGGAUUUAUUGGGUUUAAAGGGUCCGUAAGCGGACUUAUAAGUCAGUGGUGAAAGCCUGUCGCUUAACGAUAGAACUGCCAUUGAUACUGUAAGUCUUGAGUAUAUUUGAGGUAGCUGGAAUAAGUAGUGUAGCGGUGAAAUGCAUAGAUAUUACUUAGAACACCAAUUGCGAAGGCAGGUUACCAAGAUAUAACUGACGCUGAGGGACGAAAGCGUGGGGAGCGAACAGGAUUAGAUACCCUGGUAGUCCACGCCGUAAACGAUGCUAACUCGUUUUUGGGCUUUAGGGUUCAGAGACCAAGCGAAAGUGAUAAGUUAGCCACCUGGGGAGUACGCUCGCAAGAGUGAAACUCAAAGGAAUUGACGGGGGCCCGCACAAGCGGUGGAUUAUGUGGUUUAAUUCGAUGAUACGCGAGGAACCUUACCAAGACUUAAAUGGGAAUUGACAGCUUUAGAAAUAGAGCUUUCUUCGGACAAUUUUCAAGGUGCUGCAUGGUUGUCGUCAGCUCGUGCCGUGAGGUGUUAGGUUAAGUCCUGCAACGAGCGCAACCCCUGUCACUAGUUGCCAUCAUUCAGUUGGGGACUCUAGUGAGACUGCCUACGCAAGUAGAGAGGAAGGUGGGGAUGACGUCAAAUCAUCACGGCCCUUACGUCUUGGGCCACACACGUAAUACAAUGGCCGGUACAGAGGGCAGCUACACAGCGAUGUGAUGCAAAUCUCGAAAGCCGGUCUCAGUUCGGAUUGGAGUCUGCAACUCGACUCUAUGAAGCUGGAAUCGCUAGUAAUCGCGCAUCAGCCAUGGCGCGGUGAAUACGUUCCCGGGCCU